GAAGAGCCUCGUACUGUCAGGCAAACACCAACCAUAUCUAAAACACAUAAUUACAUAAAAUUUACCAACAAGUAUUAGCCCAUUCAUGCAAUUGAGAUCAAGUAGUUACAAGUCAAGUAGAUCUAGAAAUUGAUCUAGUUCCUGUCUAAAUGUGCAUAAAACAUGCUGAUAAGAUUCUUACAAUUUCUAUCACCGACAUAAAUUGAAUGACAUUUAUAACAUUUCGAAGUGCCAAAGUCAAUACAAACUCAUCUGGCAAGCUUUUAAUUCAAACCUGAAAGUUGAAAUUUAACUUUUAAUUCUGUUAUGAUUACCUGACUCAUGCGUGGACGACG
RNAcentral lists this unclassified non-coding RNA (335 nucleotides) under Hevea brasiliensis (rubber tree). The record is from RNAcentral. Lineage: Eukaryota; Viridiplantae; Streptophyta; Magnoliopsida; Malpighiales; Euphorbiaceae.